GUCCCCAUCGUCCAGAGGCCUAGGACAUCGCCCUUUCACGGCGGUAACGGGGGUUCGAAUCCCCCUGGGGACGCCA
This 76-nucleotide transfer RNA is filed under the name Bryobacteraceae bacterium. Its description in RNAcentral is "tRNA-Glu". It matches the Rfam family "tRNA". From Rfam's summary of the family: Transfer RNA (tRNA) molecules are approximately 80 nucleotides in length. Their secondary structure includes four short double-helical elements and three loops (D, anti-codon, and T loops). Lineage: Bacteria; Pseudomonadati; Acidobacteriota; Terriglobia; Bryobacterales; Bryobacteraceae. The record is from RNAcentral.